UGAACAAAAGUUUCCGGGAUUGUGUGU
RNAcentral lists this non-coding RNA (27 nucleotides) under Mus musculus (house mouse). Lineage: Eukaryota; Metazoa; Chordata; Mammalia; Rodentia; Muridae. The record is from RNAcentral.